CCUAAUUUUAAGAUGGCAUGUGAAAAGUCAGUUAAAGUCCCUAUUUUUUUUUCCAUUUUCUUCCAUUAUUGCCCCUCUCCCCUAACAAACCGGCCUCCAACUCAUUGUCAUUCUCGAAUAUUAAUCACCAUGGUUGAAUGCGACCUUUCAGUACUCGUCAGUUCCCAACUCCCCUAUAACCUAAUGUUCGUUUCAGGUUCCAUCAAUGGAGAUGAAUCUCAUCUCCCUCUAGCCUGUUUUUCGACUCUUACCUCAAUCGACGCGAUCUUGUGAGAUGGAUAGAUUGUUAAAAAAAUCUAGGGUUCAAUGUCAGAACCGCAAGGUGAAAAUGAAGAUUAGAGUUGAUUUGAGAUCCACCCACGAAGAUUCAGAAACAGAAUGGAUACGUUGAAUAAAAAUCUUCCUUUCUAUAGAUACGAGAGACUACAGGAAUUUAAGAAAAUAGCUCAGAGGGUUGAACAUGAGACUUUUACUGCUACCACAUGCCAGGUUUGAUGUGUUUUUUAUGUUAUAUAGGCAGUUUUGUAGUUUUUUAAAUAUAUUCAACACAUCGAUCUGGGUAAAGAAUCAACAGCAAAGCUAAUGGCCUCUUCAUCCUGUCCUGCGAUUACAUUUGGUCCAUUUGCUUCAGCACCAAUGUUAUGAGUCCAGUUGCGGAGGUAGCCUAAAAAUUCACAGAUAAGUUUUGCUACAAUUGCAUCCUUCAAUGGGUGAAAUUUGUUCCGGGUACACAUUCCCCUCAAUAAUCCUUGGUAAAGUGUCCCCUUUGUAAGGUUUGUCAUACUUCACUUUCUUGCAUUUUUGCACCAGUUAGUUGAUGAUAGUGAAAGUCGUUAUGAACUUGUGAUUAAUGCUGUUGUGUUCCGUUUCUUUUUGAAUGAUGGUUUCUUAAGUUAUUUCAGAUUGGAAUGUUCUUGGUGAAUUAAUUUUGUGAUGAUGGUUAUCACGCAGAGAAAAAGUUCAUCUGAUAUAUGUGAGUAUGAUGAAAGUUCUUUUCAACAUGUUAUUAAUCUGAACUUGGAGACUAGGUAAGUUAAGUUUAUAACUUUAUAUAUACUAUAUAACAUGGCACUAGAAGCUCCCCAUCGAAGCUCUCGGGUUUACCCGAUGCUACAUGUUCUUUGAACGUAAAAAGAAACGGUACAUGCUCACACCCAGUCACUACAGCGUAAUCGAUCCUGUCUUUUUCUUCUAACUUGAUAGUGCCAUCUUGAGAUACUUCCAUUGGGCCCUCAAUUUCGUCAACACUGUAGGUUCAAGGGGUCAUCAAUUCAUUUUUAUUUUAUGGAUCAUAUUUAUCAAGUUAACUUAUUCAAGCCUAACUGCCAGGGAACUAAUGGGUUAGGUGAUUAUAAUUAACAUUUUUAGUUCGAACGCAUGAAAUAAUAAGAAAAUGAUAUAUGUCUAAUUAAGUUGAAGUGAUUAGAUGUAAUUGGUUUUGAGUGGUUGACAGCCUUGAAUGGUAUAUUGGUAGGUUUUACAUGUACAUGAAGUUGGUUGAGUUGUUUAUUGUAUGCAGUAAGGAUCAUGUAUUAUAAAGAUAGUGGCAGGUCAAGAGGUUUCGGGUUUGUAAAUUUCUCAAGCGAAGAUAAAGCACGUUCAGCUAAAGAUGCCAUGAAUGGGAAGGAAGACCAUUAAAGGUCAGCUUUGCACUGGACAAAAUCGGCCACUCUAACAGGGGAACUACUUUCAGUCGUAGCCGCUGACACAAUAUGUUUUGUCAUAUUAGACUAUAACAACUAUAAUUUCAAAGUGAUUAUAUAAAAAAAGACUUUUAAGACUUUUGCGAGAUGGUAAAUGGAAUGGGGAAGAUAUUAUUCCAGCUAAUGCUCGUUUGCUUAAUGGCGAACCCUUAAAGAUUGUCUAGUCGGCUCCAACUGGUAAGUCCAUUCCGGUCACAAAAGGUUCCGGGGAUGGUGUGUAUUCUGGUUUGACUUGCAAAAGGUUUGAGGCGGUUGUUAUCGGUACUGAGGUCUACAUGCUCUUUGGGAAAGCUGCUCAUCUUGUUGAUAGCACAAAUCAAGUUGGUCAUUUUCAGAAAAAUCGACCACCAGAGUUGCUACUUGGAACAACUCAUUGUGGAUUUGGUGUGGGCUUAUGGAGUGCAAGAUGUAUCCUUGGAGAAUUAUAUGCUGGCAUGCCUAUCAUGCUUGGUUGGACUAAGGUUGAGCAACUGCAUAGAAUUUAAGCUUUGUGGUUCAUCGUAACUGAUAGUUACUGGAUAAAGUCAAAAUUACUUCACUCAACAGCGUACAAGCCCGUCCAGCCUUAUAAAGACGCAUUUUAGAAAUCUUUAAAGGUUUUCCUUGAGCUGCUAUUGGGCUUAUGCAAACUUUACUUGCAAUAGAUCAUGAAGAAAGAGGAACUACAACACUUGUUUUGAAGAGUGAGCAGUUCUUUACAACAAAGCCACUUGCUUGUGAUCCUUCAAGUUUGCUAGAAUAUCCUCCCAACAAAGAAAUUGUUGCGAAAAGGAGAGAAGAAGAAGCCAAAAGUUAUGUGCAUUUAUCUAACAUUUAAAAAAAAUCAAGCAUGUACUUAGACGUAACUAUUUGAUUACUUAACUUCAGAUUUGGUUAAUUGACUUGAAUGAUAUUGUAGACAAAGGAUAGCAAGAAUGACUGGUCAAAAGCUGUAUAAGGAAAGCGGGGAAGCACAAGAAGCCGGUGCCAGCUCGGGAUGCCAGUGCUGAGUUUGCAAGAUCAACUUAGGAUGCCAACGACGACGAUGAUGACAUGAUGAUAUUGAUGACGACAACAAAGCCGAUGGUUAUGAAUCAUGAUGGUCACCUUUUUGAUGCUCAACAAUUCCAAUAUCCGAGUUUCUAUUUUUAACCAAUGAAUUAAAAACAAUUCUUAAUACUCAUAUUUAUCCAAACGCAGUAUUCACUAUCUACAACA
Molecule: long non-coding RNA, 2900 nt
Organism: Helianthus annuus (common sunflower)
Lineage: Eukaryota; Viridiplantae; Streptophyta; Magnoliopsida; Asterales; Asteraceae
Exons: 8
Source: RefSeq, a predicted model, not a curated record